This 371-nucleotide ribosomal RNA is filed under the name uncultured bacterium. RNAcentral's name for it is "bacterial SSU rRNA". It matches the Rfam family "Bacterial small subunit ribosomal RNA", at positions 525 to 896 of the family's 1533-position model. The record is from RNAcentral.
ACGUAGGGUGCAAGCGUUAAUCGGAAUUACUGGGCGUAAAGCGUGCGCAGGCGGUUAUGUAAGACAGAGGUGAAAUCCCCGGGCUCAACCUGGGAACUGCCUUUGUGACUGCAUAGCUGGAGUGCGGCAGAGGGGGAUGGAAUUCCGCGUGUAGCAGUGAAAUGCGUAGAUAUGCGGAGGAACACCGAUGGCGAAGGCAAUCCCCUGGGCCUGCACUGACGCUCAUGCACGAAAGCGUGGGGAGCAAACAGGAUUAGAUACCCUGGUAGUCCACGCCCUAAACGAUGUCAACUGGUUGUUGGGUCUUCACUGACUCAGUAACGAAGCUAACGCGUGAAGUUGACCGCCUGGGGAGUACGGCCGCAAGGUUA